UACGUAGGGACCAAGCGUUGUUCGGAUUUACUGGGCGUAAAGGGCGCGUAGGCGGCGUGACAAGUCACUUGUGAAAUCUCUGGGCUUAACUCAGAACGGCCAAGUGAUACUGUCGUGCUAGAGUGCGGAAGGGGCAAUCGGAAUUCUUGGUGUAGCGGUGAAAUGCGUAGAUAUCAAGAGGAACACCUGAGGUGAAGACGGGUUGCUGGGCCGACACUGACGCUGAGGCGCGAAAGCCAGGGGAGCAAACGGG
RNAcentral lists this ribosomal RNA (253 nucleotides) under uncultured bacterium. RNAcentral describes it as "partial 16S ribosomal RNA". It matches the Rfam family "Bacterial small subunit ribosomal RNA", at positions 524 to 776 of the family's 1533-position model. The record is from RNAcentral.